This 223-nucleotide ribosomal RNA is filed under the name uncultured bacterium. RNAcentral's name for it is "partial 16S ribosomal RNA". It matches the Rfam family "Bacterial small subunit ribosomal RNA", at positions 328 to 539 of the family's 1533-position model. The record is from RNAcentral.
ACGCUCGACACCUACGGGAGGCAGCAGUAGGGAAUCUUCCACAAUGGGCGCAAGCCUGAUGGAGCAACACCGCGUGAGUGAAGAAGGGUUUCGGCUCGUAAAGCUCUGUUGUUGGAGAAGAACGUGCGUGAGAGUAACUGUUCACGCAGUGACGGUAUCCAACCAGAAAGUCACGGCUAACGUACGUGCUAGCAGCCGCGGUAAUCUGAGCGGGCUGGCAGGC